Molecule: small nucleolar RNA, 91 nt
Organism: Fukomys damarensis (Damara mole-rat)
Lineage: Eukaryota; Metazoa; Chordata; Mammalia; Rodentia; Bathyergidae
Gene: SNORD116
Rfam family: Small nucleolar RNA SNORD116
About the family: HBII-85 is a member of the C/D class of snoRNAs, which contain the C (UGAUGA) and D (CUGA) box motifs.
Source: Ensembl
GGAUGGAUGAGAACAUACUAAUUACAUUGCCUGGAGCUGAACAAAAUGAGUGAAAUCUCUUCAACUGUCUCUCUCAUCUAAAAUGAGGUAC